GACGUAGGACGCGAGCGUUGUCCGGAUUUAUUGGGCGUAAAGAGCGCGCAGGCGGUCGUUCAAGUCGCGUGUGAAAGCCCCCGGCUCAACUGGGGAGGGUCACGCGAUACUGAUCGACUCGAAGGCAGGAGAGGGAAGUGGAAUUCCCGGUGUAGUGGUGAAAUGCGUAGAUAUCGGGAGGAACACCAGUGGCGAAGGCGACUUCCUGGCCUGUUCUUGACGCUGAGGCGCGAAAGCUAGGGGAGCAAACGGG
RNAcentral lists this ribosomal RNA (253 nucleotides) under uncultured bacterium. Its description in RNAcentral is "partial 16S ribosomal RNA". It matches the Rfam family "Bacterial small subunit ribosomal RNA", at positions 524 to 776 of the family's 1533-position model. The record is from RNAcentral.